Long non-coding RNA from Prionailurus viverrinus (fishing cat), 2478 nucleotides. RefSeq lists it as uncharacterized. NCBI's taxonomy places the organism in Eukaryota, Metazoa, Chordata, Mammalia, Carnivora, Felidae. The transcript is spliced from 12 exons. The record is from RefSeq and is a predicted model, not a curated record.
GGGUGUCUGAAUCAAAAACUUUGAUUAAAGCCAUCUGUGACUCUGAGGUCCAUUAUUUAAAAGUGGCCUCAUAUUUUCCUCUGUGGAAAUGAGCUUAGAGCAGAAUUUCUGAAUGUUCAAAUACCUUGAUCAUGGGUAUACACACUUUAUGGGAAUAGCUUGAAUUCUUGUAAGUAAAUCAUGAGUGAAUACAUGAAGAAAUAUAUAAAUGAGUAAAUAUAAAGAAACCUGGGUAUAGGCCAAUUAUGAGAGUAGGUAAUGAAACUGGGAUUAUUACACGUUUCUGAGGCAUUGAAUUCCAGUGAAAUCUAUUUGUAGGGGCUGUUGCCCCCUUUUUUGGAAGGAGUGGGUAGACAGAUGCAUGUAAGAUUCAGCAUCUUUGUUUGAUAUAGGUGGUUGCCUGCUGGUUGGUUGUUUGUAUUUAGAAAAGGAAAAAUUGCAUACAUAAAUAAUUCAUUAAAUGUUUAAUUGGAAAAAGAAUGAGCAUAGUUCAUAUUAGAAUGUGCCUUAUGAACAGUUAUUAUUAAUGUACCUCUGUUCAUUGAGUUUUAUUAAAAACAAGGAAAAAGAUCUCAUGUUUAAAGUUCUGUGGCUAAUGUAGUAGACAUGUGGAGACAAAACAAUGCUAUUCAAGUUUCCUGUCUAAUAUUAGUUAAUUUCCAGAUAUUGAUGAGUUGUUACAUUUGAGUGGAUUAAAUGCUAAUCACAGUUUUUAAAAGGGGGCAAAAUGUGGCCCAGUAAGAAGCAAAAAUAAUCCUUAUCUAUACUUCUGAUCCUCUCUUCCUAACUUGGUCAUGGGCAUGUAGUCCCUUGUACAUGAAGAGCAUUUGUAUUCUGGGUUGUUCAUGGAUUUACCAUUUUGUUUGUGUGUGUGUGUAUAGGUGUGUGUGUUAGUAUACUUGAAUGUAUGAUCAACUAUUCCACAAGGCAUUCCAUAAAUGAAUAAAUAAAACAAUGAACAGUUGAAUUAACAUAUGAGUAGGGUGAAAGCAUAGAUCUUGGUGACAAUAUGCCAUGAGUCACAAAUUUAAUGUCAUCUAUUUCUACACAAAUUGAGUUCUUCAAAAAAAAGAUUGUCUAGGCUCUUGCCUAUAUGGAUAAGGGGUGUGUAGACAGAUAUGUGCAAUAGUUUUUAUUUUUAUGUGAUGAACUCAACAGUGUUCAUUGUAUUAUUUAAAAUUUAUACUUAAAUCAGCAAAUUAAAAAGGAGUGAUGUUCUUGGAUCAGUGAUGACAGUGAGAAGUGAAUCAGCUUCCUGAGUAAUUUUGUACCACACAACUGUUGUCCUUUAAAUCAAUCUAAAUCUGGACUGUUCAUUCUUUCGAAUAUUGACACUUGACUCCAGAAUGGAGACCAUGGCUGAUUUAACCAGUCUCUACUGAUGAAGAUCUUGGCUGUUAUCUUUCUGGAAUGGAUGGACGAUGAAUCCAUUAUGGAGUACAGAAACAUAAUGGAUGUGCCAGGCCAGUUGAAGCAUCUCCAUGGUCAUGAGCUGUUUGUUGCCUAGGAGCAUAGAGACCAGUAAUGGAUGCAGUUAAGCUGAUUAUCUGUGGUUGCCUCCGUUGUCGGGAACACAGACACUAAUAGUGGGCACACCAAGGUGAUGAAAGCCAUCUGCCAUGGUUACAGGCUCUAUAUGUAGGAGAUGGAGACCAGUAGUGGAUGCCCUGGAGCUAAUUUAAGGAUUCUUCCAUGGUCACAAGGCGUCUGCUUGUCUCUGUGUGUUUGGUGUAUAGAAAUAAUGGACACAUCCAAGGUGGUUUAAAUAGUAUGCCUGUAGGAACAUGGAAACCAACAAUAGGUACAUGCGUGAAGUUGGGUUGAAGCAUCUUUCAUGGUCACGAGCUCUGUGGUUGCCUUGUCUAAUGAGCAUAGAAGCCAACCAUGGAUGCACUUGAACUCACCUAGGUGUUUGGCCGUGAUCGGAUGCUCCAUGGAUGCCCCUUGCGUGUAAGAGGAUGGAGACCAAUAAUGGAACCCCAGGCUGAUUUUAGCUUCUGCUCUGAUCAAGAUCGACAUGUUGCUUCAGUGUUGGAGAGAGACCAAGGAUGGACAUACUCAGGCUGAUCGAAGAAUUCUUCCAUGGUCACAGUCCCUGUGGUUGCACCUGUGUUCCAGGUGUGCAUAGCCCAACGGUUUUCAAAAUUAAUAUUAGUGAAUUCAGCCAUUAAUGAAAUGACAUCCAGAAAAUGAAGAGGAAGAGACUGAAAUAUGGACCAGUGAUGACGGCUGGUGGCGUAGGAGUCAUGGACGAUGAAUACUACGUGUCUGGAACUCUGAGGUCCAACAGGAAAGGAAAUAUGGUCUCUUACCUCCGCUUGAAAUUCUUCUAUGGACUGAUUUUAGGAAUAUAAAGGGACUGUUUUCUUAGAUUGUUUUCUUGAAUUUUGAUUGUUUUACUAUCAAUGGAUCAAUUCAAGAACCAAGGUACAAAUAUUAAUAAGUCAAAAUGAGGCGCGUGGAGCAUAUGCACUCAGU